Molecule: ribosomal RNA, 501 nt
Filed under: uncultured bacterium
Lineage: Bacteria
Description: partial 16S ribosomal RNA
Rfam family: Bacterial small subunit ribosomal RNA
Source: RNAcentral
AUUGAACGCUGGCGGCAGGCUUAACACAUGCAAGUCGAGCGGAGCGAGGGUGCUUGCACCUUAGCUUAGCGGCGGACGGGUGAGUAAUGCUUAGGAAUCUGCCUAUUAGUGGGGGACAACAUUCCGAAAGGAAUGCUAAUACCGCAUACGCCCUACGGGGGAAAGCAGGGGAUCUUCGGACCUUGCGCUAAUAGAUGAGCCUAAGUCGGAUUAGCUAGUUGGUGGGGUAAAGGCCUACCAAGGCGACGAUCUGUAGCGGGUCUGAGAGGAUGAUCCGCCACACUGGGACUGAGACACGGCCCAGACUCCUACGGGAGGCAGCAGUGGGGAAUAUUGGACAAUGGGCGCAAGCCUGAUCCAGCCAUGCCGCGUGUGUGAAGAAGGCCUUAUGGUUGUAAAGCACUUUAAGCGAGGAGGAGGCUCUUUUGGUUAAUACCCAAGAUGAGUGGACGUUACUCGCAGAAUAAGCACCGGCUAACUCUGUGCCAGCAGCCGCGGUAA